RNAcentral lists this transfer RNA (74 nucleotides) under Candidatus Methanofastidiosia archaeon. Its description in RNAcentral is "tRNA-Lys". It matches the Rfam family "tRNA". Rfam says of the family: Transfer RNA (tRNA) molecules are approximately 80 nucleotides in length. Lineage: Archaea; Methanobacteriati; Methanobacteriota; Candidatus Methanofastidiosia. The record is from RNAcentral.
GCCUUCGUGGCGCAAUUGCGUAGCGCUACUCCCUCUUAAGGAGAAGGUUAAGGGUUCGAGUCCCUUCGGAGGCA